GCUCGGCAAUGAAGUGACAGGGCUCUGGAAUAGUUCUGACACAAGGGAGAUAUUCCAAGAAAUUAUUCGAG
Molecule: ribosomal RNA, 71 nt
Filed under: Detonula confervacea
Lineage: Eukaryota; Bacillariophyta; Thalassiosirophyceae; Thalassiosirales; Thalassiosiraceae
Description: partial Microsporidia small subunit ribosomal RNA
Source: RNAcentral